RNAcentral lists this ribosomal RNA (508 nucleotides) under uncultured bacterium. Its description in RNAcentral is "partial 16S ribosomal RNA". It matches the Rfam family "Bacterial small subunit ribosomal RNA", at positions 28 to 523 of the family's 1533-position model. The record is from RNAcentral.
GACGAACGCUGGCGGCGCGCCUAACACAUGCAAGUCGAGCGAGAACCAGGACUUCGGUCCUGGGGACAGCGGCGAACGGGUGAGUAACACGUGGAUAACCUGCCCUCGGCACCGGAAUAGCCCGGGGAAACUCGGAUUAAUGCCGGAUAGCCCCACAUCCCUGCGGGGAACGUGGGAAAAGGUAGCUUCGGCCUCUGGCCGGGGAUGGGUCCGUGGUGGAUUAGCUUGUUGGCGGGGUAAUGGCCCACCAAGGCGACGAUCCAUAGCUGGUCUGAGAGGACGAUCAGCCACACUGGGACUGAGACACGGCCCAGACUCCUACGGGAGGCAGCAGUGGGAAUCUUGCGCAAUGGGCGAAAGCCUGACGCAGCGACGCCGCGUGCGGGAAGAAGGCCUUCGGGUUGUAAACCGCUUUCAGGGGGGACGAAGCCACUCGGGUGAAUAGCCCAGAGGGUGACGGUACCUCCAGAAGAAGCCCCGGCUAACUACGUGCCAGCCGCCGCCGUAA